UCAGUAAAACAAAUGGUCGCGGCUGGCACACCGAAAGGCGCCAGACGAGGAAAGUCCGGGCUUCACAGGGCAGGAUGCCGGAUAACGUCCGGUGGAGGCGACUCCAAGGAAAGUGCAACAGAAAUGAACCGCCUGCACCUUGCAGGUAAGGGUGGAAGGGCAGUGUAAGAGACUACCGCCCUCCUGGCAACAGGAGGGGCACAUGUAAACCCCAUCCGAAGCAAGACCGAAUCAAAGCAUAUGGCGGCCCGUCAGCUUUAGGUAGGUCGCUUGAGCCUGCUGGCGACAGCAGGCCUAGAUAGAUGACCAUUCACGACAUAACCCGGCUUAUCGUUUUGCUGAAAAA
Molecule: RNase P RNA, 346 nt
Filed under: Eubacteriales bacterium
Lineage: Bacteria; Bacillati; Bacillota; Clostridia; Eubacteriales
Description: RNase P RNA component class A
Rfam family: Bacterial RNase P class A
About the family: Ribonuclease P (RNase P) is a ubiquitous endoribonuclease, found in archaea, bacteria and eukarya as well as chloroplasts and mitochondria.
Source: RNAcentral